Oryzias melastigma (Indian medaka) is the source of this 920-nucleotide long non-coding RNA. RefSeq lists it as uncharacterized. The transcript is spliced from 2 exons. Lineage: Eukaryota; Metazoa; Chordata; Actinopteri; Beloniformes; Adrianichthyidae. The record is from RefSeq and is a predicted model, not a curated record.
GUAAAUAUGAUGCAAUAAUACCUAACACAUAGAGGGUAUUAAAACAAAUAAAUACAUUACAUCAUAACUACAUAAAUCAGUACGAAAUUAAUAUACUAUUUUAUUGUGUUUUGUUAAAAUUCAUUUGUUUAUUUUAAAGUAUUUUUAUUGAAAUGUAUAUUGCUUUAAAGGUGUUUGUGUGCUGUUACCUUUCAUGGAGGUUGAGUGACAGGUGUAGAGAGAAAAGGGGGCGGAGUUGAGAGAAAGAAAGAAAGAGUCCGGUCUUGGCGCAGAAAGAAAGAAUCACAGCUACCGAAGGUGUCGUUUCGUCUUAAUAAGAGAGAUGUUAAUGCUAUGGUUCAUCCCCCAGAUGGUCCAUUGUUGGAUUAAGUGCUGAGAGUUCGGUAAAUAAAAAGUAAGUUUCUGCUCGGGACUUAUAAAUUGUUUUACCGAGAGCGCAGCAUCAGAGCUAAGCUAAGCUAGCAUGGUCUCUAGUGGACCGUAGGCUGGAGUUCGCUAAAUUAGCUUGACUUUGUAGCUAACCGUUACCGGACUGGAAAGCGGGAAAACAGAUCCAGAUAGCACUCUGAGCUAUCCAGGAAGCUCGGAGUACUUCUGGCGACGUGGAAGACGAGGAAAAAGUUCGCUACCGGGUAUGGACAACGCACGUGGAUUAAUAUCGGAGUUGGAGCUGUGAAACGCAAAAGUGGUGGAGUCGGUUUGGAUUACUUUUCUACAAACACAAGAAACCACAGUGGAAGGGUAAUAGCGACACGUGUAGCUCUGGAGCUGCAGGUUGCAGACCCCUGGCGUUCGCGGAGCAUAAAGCUCGUGACCCACCAACUGUAGCUUCUACAUUACAGCUACAGGCUUUUUCCAACUGCAUUUUUGUCUCCUCCUGAUUCACAACAGUUUGAAUAAAGAAAUACUCAGAAAUGUCA